UCGUGCUAGAUGGGGAGAUAGCGGUGCCCUUUUCCUGCAAUCCGCUUAGCAGGGUUGAAUUCCUACACCGAGGCUUACUUUUGUAGGGUCUGCCCCAAGCAAGAAACGAUGAUAAUUGGGUCUCACGCAACGAAACCCUGCGAACCCCGUCAGGUCCGGAAGGAAGCAGCGGUAAACAGGCACUUUCGUGUGCCGUGGGGGGUCCUGGUUUGAGUUUACUACUUGGGUAACGCUUGUAGUAGUUAGUCGAAGGUAGGUGCACGG
Molecule: non-coding RNA, 264 nt
Organism: Pseudobacteroides cellulosolvens
Lineage: Bacteria; Bacillati; Bacillota; Clostridia; Eubacteriales; Oscillospiraceae
Rfam family: Bacterial large signal recognition particle RNA
About the family: The signal recognition particle (SRP) is a universally conserved ribonucleoprotein involved in the co-translational targeting of proteins to membranes.
Source: Rfam